Molecule: ribosomal RNA, 1658 nt
Filed under: Escherichia coli
Lineage: Bacteria; Pseudomonadati; Pseudomonadota; Gammaproteobacteria; Enterobacterales; Enterobacteriaceae
Description: partial 23S ribosomal RNA
Rfam family: Bacterial large subunit ribosomal RNA
Source: RNAcentral
CAUAAGUAACGAUAAAGCGGGUGAAAAGCCCGCUCGCCGGAAGACCAAGGGUUCCUGUCCAACGUUAAUCGGGGCAGGGUGAGUCGACCCCUAAGGCGAGGCCGAAAGGCGUAGUCGAUGGGAAACAGGUUAAUAUUCCUGUACUUGGUGUUACUGCGAAGGGGGGACGGAGAAGGCUAUGUUGGCCGGGCGACGGUUGUCCCGGUUUAAGCGUGUAGGCUGGUUUUCCAGGCAAAUCCGGAAAAUCAAGGCUGAGGCGUGAUGACGAGGCACUACGGUGCUGAAGCGACAAAUGCCCUGCUUCCAGGAAAAGCCUCUAAGCAUCAGGUAACAUCAAAUCGUACCCCAAACCGACACAGGUGGUCAGGUAGAGAAUACCAAGGCGCUUGAGAGAACUCGGGUGAAGGAACUAGGCAAAAUGGUGCCGUAACUUCGGGAGAAGGCACGCUGAUAUGUAGGUGAAGCGACUUGCUCGUGGAGCUGAAAUCAGUCGAAGAUACCAGCUGGCUGCAACUGUUUAUUAAAAACACAGCACUGUGCAAACACGAAAGUGGACGUAUACGGUGUGACGCCUGCCCGGUGCCGGAAGGUUAAUUGAUGGGGUUAGCGGUAACGCGAAGCUCUUGAUCGAAGCCCCGGUAAACGGCGGCCGUAACUAUAACGGUCCUAAGGUAGCGAAAUUCCUUGUCGGGUAAGUUCCGACCUGCACGAAUGGCGUAAUGAUGGCCAGGCUGUCUCCACCCGAGACUCAGUGAAAUUGAACUCGCUGUGAAGAUGCAGUGUACCCGCGGCAAGACGGAAAGACCCCGUGAACCUUUACUAUAGCUUGACACUGAACAUUGAGCCUUGAUGUGUAGGAUAGGUGGGAGGCUUUGAAGUGUGGACGCCAGUCUGCAUGGAGCCGACCUUGAAAUACCACCCUUUAAUGUUUGAUGUUCUAACGUGGGCCCCUUACCGGGGUUGCGGACAGUGUCUGGUGGGUAGUUUGACUGGGGCGGUCUCCUCCUAAAGAGUAACGGAGGAGCACGAAGGUUGGCUAAUCCUGGUCGGACAUCAGGAGGUUAGUGCAAUGGCAUAAGCCAGCUUGACUGCGAGCGUGACGGCGCGAGCAGGUGCGAAAGCAGGUCAUAGUGAUCCGGUGGUUCUGAAUGGAAGGGCCAUCGCUCAACGGAUAAAAGGUACUCCGGGGAUAACAGGCUGAUACCGCCCAAGAGUUCAUAUCGACGGCGGUGUUUGGCACCUCGAUGUCGGCUCAUCACAUCCUGGGGCUGAAGUAGGUCCCAAGGGUAUGGCUGUUCGCCAUUUAAAGUGGUACGCGAGCUGGGUUUAGAACGUCGUGAGACAGUUCGGUCCCUAUCUGCCGUGGGCGCUGGAGAACUGAGGGGGGCUGCUCCUAGUACGAGAGGACCGGAGUGGACGCAUCACUGGUGUUCGGGUUGUCAUGCCAAUGGCACUGCCCGGUAGCUAAAUGCGGAAGAGAUAAGUGCUGAAAGCAUCUAAGCACGAAACUUGCCCCGAGAUGAGUUCUCCCUGACUCCUUGAGAGUCCUGAAGGAACGUUGAAGACGACGACGUUGAUAGGCCGGGUGUGUAAGCGCAGCGAUGCGUUGAGCUAACCGGUACUAAUGAACCGUGAGGCUUAACCUUACAACGCCGAAG